This 253-nucleotide ribosomal RNA is filed under the name uncultured bacterium. Its description in RNAcentral is "partial 16S ribosomal RNA". It matches the Rfam family "Bacterial small subunit ribosomal RNA", at positions 524 to 776 of the family's 1533-position model. The record is from RNAcentral.
UACGGAGGGAGCUAGCGUUGUUCGGAAUCACUAGGCGUAAAGCGCAGGUAGGAGGUUUGGUAAGUCUAUUGUGAAAGCUCCCGGCUUAACUGGGAGAGGUCAAUGGAAACUACCAGGCUAGAGUGCGGUAGAGGUAGCUGGAAUUCCCGGUGUAGCGGUGAAAUGCGUAGAUAUCGGGAGGAAUACCUAUGGCGAAAGCAGGCUACUGGACCGUCACUGACUCUGAUCUGCGAAAGCUAGGGGAGCAAACAGG